CCAGUCCAUUUUAGUUCACUAUUUCCUAAAAUGUUGAUGUUCACUCUUGCCAUAUCCUGUAUGACCACUUCCAAUUUAGCUUGAUUCAUGGACCUAACAUUCUAGGUUCCUAUACAACAGUGGUUUUUACGGCAUCAGACUUUACUUGCUUCGCCAAGUGAGUGUUGCUUUUCUUUG
Long non-coding RNA from Cervus elaphus (red deer), 177 nucleotides. RefSeq lists it as uncharacterized. The record is from RefSeq and is a predicted model, not a curated record. NCBI's taxonomy places the organism in Eukaryota, Metazoa, Chordata, Mammalia, Artiodactyla, Cervidae. The transcript has 3 exons.